This 1302-nucleotide long non-coding RNA is filed under the name Hordeum vulgare. Its description in RNAcentral is "long non-coding RNA (HVUL_LNC013275)". The record is from RNAcentral. Lineage: Eukaryota; Viridiplantae; Streptophyta; Magnoliopsida; Poales; Poaceae.
CAUGGAAGCAACUGCACGUGCAACUAGCAACGCUAACACAGGGUUAAGCAAGCAGUAACAUAGCCAAUGAGUGGUUUGCUAGAUUGAAUAGGUUGAAGGUUUUCAUGGCAUUGUUGAGAGGCUGAUAUUUAACAGGUGGUAGGCAACGAGACAUAAUCGAUAGAAACGGUAAAACUAGCAUGGUAAUGAUAGUAAUGGUAUCUGGGGAAAUGGUCAUCUUGCCUCAGAUCCCGCUUGGAAGAAGAAUGCCUCCGUGAAGCAGACGAACAGACGUAGUCGAACGGGUCCUCACAAUCCGGCACGCUGCGGAACUCUAUCGAGACGAAGCAAACCGGAAACACAAAUCAACACAUGGAAUUCACCACACGAUGCACAACACAAAUGAUGCAUGAGCAGCUGAAUACAUGCAAGACACGGCAUGACAACUCACACAAUCAAACACUACACAUUAAGUGAAGUUCAAUAUGCAACGAGUUGCAUAUUAACGAAACUCCACGUUUAUUUAUUUAGUACUAUCCCGAUUAGAUACACGGCAAUAUUAAAUUUGGUUAAACAUGGCAUGGGUGAAGCGUAAUUAAUCUACCUAUCUAGGCAUUUUAAAUGAGGUCGGAAAUGACAUAUAGCACCUCCGAGACGACCUCACAUGUUAAUUUACAAUUCUGUCCAGAUCUGAACUAACACAUUUAAUUAGUUGUUAAACAGCAAAACAAAUAGGUUCACGUGAUUCUACGCGUCAUUUCAAGCAAUUUUCACAUAGAGAACUUCUCCAACGGAGCUACGGUUCAAAAGAUACAAGCACCGCAAGAUAUGAUGGCAUGAAUGCAAUAUGUGUGCAACGACAGUCACGAGCACUUCGAAACAUACAAACAGAGAGAGAAAAUGAAACUACACGAGAUUCUAAGCAAGUUUCAUGUAGGACACGAUCAAAACAGAGCUAUGGUUCAAAAACUACGAGCAAAACAAGAUAUCACUACAAUCUGUCAAAAUCAGCCACAUAGCAUUUUCUACGCCCCACAAUUACGGGCUACACAACUCGGAUAAACUCAAGCAAGGCAUGACACGAAAGAGGGCAAGAUGCACUACUACAAACAACUAACAACAACUAGCAUGGCAUCAUGGAUCACUAGGAAAAGGGGACACAACAUAGCUUCCCACACACUAUUUCAGACUUAGUGAAAAUAACACCUCAUGAAAGUGCAGUUUUCGAUCUGAAGCAAUAUUGACAGCAGCAAAACCAUAAGCUACAGGACUCCAGAUGGCAUGAAAAUUUACAGAAUGCUAGAGAAACACAAGGGCUACAAC